This 658-nucleotide ribosomal RNA is filed under the name Arthracanthus sp. n. 1 MB-2019. RNAcentral describes it as "partial 28S large subunit ribosomal RNA". It matches the Rfam family "Eukaryotic large subunit ribosomal RNA", at positions 656 to 1269 of the family's 3401-position model. Lineage: Eukaryota; Metazoa; Arthropoda; Insecta; Coleoptera; Melyridae. The record is from RNAcentral.
GAAACACGGAUCAAGGAGUCUAGCAUGUGCGCGAGUCAUUGGGAACUCACUAAACCUAAAGGCGUAAUGAAAGUGAAGGCCCGCCUUGCGCGGGCCGAGGGAAGAUGGGCGUCGGCCGUAAGUCCACGCUCCGCAUUCCCGGGGCGUCUCGUCCUCAUCGCGAGGAGAGGCGCACCAAGAGCGUACACGCUGGGACCCGAAAGAUGGUGAACUAUGCCUGGUCAGGACGAAGUCAGGGGAAACCCUGAUGGAGGUCCGUAGCGAUUCUGACGUGCAAAUCGAUCGUCGGAACUGGGUAUAGGGGCGAAAGACUAAUCGAACCAUCUAGUAGCUGGUUCCCUCCGAAGUUUCCCUCAGGAUAGCUGGCGCUCGUCGCUCACGAGUCUCAUCCGGUAAAGCGAAUGAUUAGAGGCAUUGGGGCCGAAACGGCCUCAACCUAUUCUCAAACUUUAAAUGGGUGAGAUCUCCGGCUUGCUCGAACUGAUGAAGCCGUGAGACACGGAUCAGAGUGCCAAGUGGGCCAUUUUUGGUAAGCAGAACUGGCGCUGUGGGAUGAACCAAACGCCGAGUUAAAGCGCCUAAAUCGACGCUUAUGGGAUACCAUGAAAGGCGUUGGUAACUUAAGACAGCAGGACGGUGGCCAUGGAAGUCGGAAUCC